Molecule: long non-coding RNA, 963 nt
Organism: Oryctolagus cuniculus (rabbit)
Lineage: Eukaryota; Metazoa; Chordata; Mammalia; Lagomorpha; Leporidae
Source: Ensembl
GUUGAAUGCAAGACAAAAAUGGUUCCCAAAAGACAAGAAAUCUGGUGACUUAGGGCUUCAAUUCCAUGGCAUAGACUUAGUUGUGCAUUACUGAUCUGAAUUGUGGUGCCCGAGGCCUGUGUUCGGCUCUGUGCUUUCUCCUGGCACUUGUGUUAAAGUAAUGGGUCUGAAGAAUAUCAUGAGGAGCCUUGCAACAGAGCACAGGGUGACCAGGAGGUCCCAUCCCUUUUCUUAGGGAUGUUGAGGACUUCACCAAACUUUAUAGUCUCCAGACCACCUCUUCUCUCCCACCAAUUUUUUUGGAAAAUAAUUCUUGGCUAAUUCCCUGCCCAUCUUCCCUUAUAUUAUUAAAAAUCUAAGUAUAUAUUUCCAUUUUUGGUGAUUGUCACACUUUAAUGAGGCUGUUGGUUAGUUUCUCGGAUAUGUUGCUGCUACUUCUUUAGAAUGCAGCAAGGCAGAUAUUAUUUUAAAAUUGGCUACAGAUAACCCAUUCACUAAGUGGAUGAGUCAACAGAUGUUUUUUCUUGAAGCAUGAGUUGUGUGAAAAAGGGUGAUUACUCCAUUCCUCUGCCUCUCACGCCCAGCACACACAACACACAGAAGGAAAAACAGUUCCCAAGGCUGCAAGAAGGAAAUGGGCUCAAGUGACUGAGACAGAGCUUUAAAUCAGAGCAGAAACAAUGGUGCAAAGACAUCUGUAUCAGGACUCCUAAAACUUUAAAAUACAAGGGACUGCUGCAUAGUUCCUUGCAUGUCUGCCCUCGCGUACCAGAGGCUGAGGAGGACAUAACAAAGAUUCCCUGGGAUAGGAGCUGGCAGACAAGGAAUCGCCACUUGUUUUUUAAUGUCUUCCAGAAUCCUUACCAACGCUGGGACAUCAGGAAAUAUCGCUCGUGUGCUAAAUGCUGCUCCCUCUGCUGGUUGUCUCUGAGGAAAUGGAUGUUGAAGAUGAGAGGAAGGUGA